AUGUCCAUCACCGCCCACUAUAUCAAUGCAGAAUUCAUCUACAAGAAGAAGAUCAUAAGUUUCGCAGAGGUGAAGUAUCCUCACACGGGCUAUGCGAUAGAAGAGGAACUUGUUGGUUGCCUAACAGAAUGGGGCAUAAGGGGCAAGCUGUUCACUUUGACACUAGAUAAUGCUAGCAAUAAUACUAAUGCAUGUGAUGAGUUAAUAAAAUAUCACAAACAUGAGCUGCUCCUUGAAGGUCAACAUUUGCAUGUGAGGUGA
RNAcentral lists this ribosomal RNA (261 nucleotides) under Triticum aestivum (bread wheat). RNAcentral's name for it is "partial small subunit ribosomal RNA". The record is from RNAcentral. Lineage: Eukaryota; Viridiplantae; Streptophyta; Magnoliopsida; Poales; Poaceae.